RNAcentral lists this long non-coding RNA (482 nucleotides) under Heterocephalus glaber (naked mole-rat). RNAcentral's name for it is "lncRNA (ENSHGLG00000039248.1)". Lineage: Eukaryota; Metazoa; Chordata; Mammalia; Rodentia; Bathyergidae. The record is from RNAcentral.
UCAAUUUUAUGUUUUCUUUUUUGCAUCAUAUUGAAGCUGUUGGAUUAAUUUUUUAUGGUUCCUUCCUACUUUUAAGAAAUUUAUGAGGAUUCACUUGUCCAAUAGUAUUUUGGCCUAAAAAGAACCGUGCAGCUCUGUUACAAAGAAAGGUCUUGAAUGGUUCUGCUGUUGGAAAUGAAGUUUGCACACUUCAUUGCUGCAUCAUUCUUCAUAGAAGUUAGUGACCUGAGGUGCAGUUGCUUAUAACUGCAAGCAGGUAGAACUCCCAGUGAUUGACUAUCAUCUCCAUAGAGGGAACACAGUGUGCCUGUACUUAGUGCAGUAUCUGCCUGAUUGCAUCACAGAUUCAUAGAAUGGACAACUCUGAGACUUCUAUUAUUGUGAAGUCCCAGAGACCACCAGGAGGCCGUUUCCGAUCUGGAGCAGAAGAGAAGGGUGAAUACCUGCUUCAAAAGGAGGUUAUUGCCAUAAACAAUAUGUUG